GCUAAAAUAGAAUAGUAACAGAAAUCAUAUUUGCCAGCCCUAACUGAAGGAAUUGUGAAACAUCUCAGAAGAUUGGUAAUGGUCUUCUGCUCCAGCUAAACCAAUUCUUGAUGGUCUCAUUUCACCAUGAAACUAUCAUCUGUAUUUUCUUUCAAAUUAUCUGGAAUCAAUCCCCAACUCUCAAAGCCUGGAGCAGAGAGAAAAGAACACUGAAUAUGUUCAUCAUUUUGAUUUUGAAACCAAAAGUUUAUUAAAAG
Molecule: long non-coding RNA, 257 nt
Filed under: Homo sapiens (human)
Lineage: Eukaryota; Metazoa; Chordata; Mammalia; Primates; Hominidae
Description: HSALNT0062346
Source: RNAcentral